Molecule: ribosomal RNA, 253 nt
Filed under: uncultured bacterium
Lineage: Bacteria
Description: partial 16S ribosomal RNA
Rfam family: Bacterial small subunit ribosomal RNA
Source: RNAcentral
UACGUAGGGGCCUAGCGUUGUCCGGAAUCAUUGGGCGUAAAGAGCGUGUAGGCGGCCCGGUAAGUCCGCUGUGAAAGUCCAGGGCUCAACCCUGGGAUGCCGGUGGAUACUGUCGGGCUCGAGUCCGGAAGAGGAGUGUGGAAUUCCUGGUGUAGCGGUGAAAUGCGCAGAUAUCAGGAGGAACACCAAUGGCGAAGGCAGCACUCUGGGACGUGACUGACGCUGAGACGCGAAAGCGUGGGGAGCAAACAGG